RNAcentral lists this ribosomal RNA (472 nucleotides) under uncultured bacterium. RNAcentral's name for it is "SSU rRNA". It matches the Rfam family "Bacterial small subunit ribosomal RNA", at positions 26 to 518 of the family's 1533-position model. The record is from RNAcentral.
AGAGCGAACGCUGGCGGCAGGCUUAACACAUGCAAGUCGAACGCGUGUAGCAAUACACGAGUGGCGCACGGGUGAGUAACGCGUGGGCAUCUGCCUCAUGGUUCGGAAUAACCCCGGGAAACUGGGGCUAAUACCGGAUGGUACCUUCGGGUUAAAGAUUUAUCGCCAUGAGAUGAGCCCGCGUCCGAUUAGCUAGUUGGUGAGGUAAUGGCUCACCAAGGCGACGAUCGGUAGCUGGUCUGAGAGGACGAUCAGCCACACUGGGACUGAGACACGGCCCAGACUCCUACGGGAGGCAGCAGUGGGGAAUAUUGGACAAUGGGCGCAAGCCUGAUCCAGCAAUGCCGCGUGUGUGAAGAAGGCCUUCGGGUUGUAAAGCACUUUUAUCAGGAACGAAAUACCACGGGUUAAUACCCUAUGGGCUGACGGUACCUGAGGAAUAAGCACCGGCUAACUUCGUGCCAGCAGCCGC